AUCCCACUGAAGUGUCCCGAAUAGAACGAAACGCGCGUCCUUGAU
RNAcentral lists this non-coding RNA (45 nucleotides) under Schistosoma margrebowiei. Lineage: Eukaryota; Metazoa; Platyhelminthes; Trematoda; Strigeidida; Schistosomatidae. The record is from RNAcentral.